Long non-coding RNA from Bubalus bubalis (water buffalo), 1648 nucleotides. RefSeq lists it as uncharacterized. The record is from RefSeq and is a predicted model, not a curated record. The transcript is spliced from 3 exons. NCBI's taxonomy places the organism in Eukaryota, Metazoa, Chordata, Mammalia, Artiodactyla, Bovidae.
AAAAAUGGAGCCAAUACAGCACCCUCUAUCCACGCAGCCAGCGUCUGCCUCCAGGCUCAUUUCUUCUACAAGGAUGUCAGUGAUCGAUCGGAGAAAGCGUCUCCGGAGCCCGCACCUGGCAGCAUCCUGUUUCCAGUUUACCGCGACAGAUAAUCGCAACCCUAGGAAUGGAGGUAUGGCCUAUAAACCCCGCUGUGGAAGGCAAGAUCCGCUUCUCUGCAAGGUUUAGAACUGAGAGGAAAGCGCAAGCGGGAAUCCCAGCUCUGAAUCAGAGAGGGGAAAGCCGCAGCCUAGCGUUCGCAGCCUGAUAUCGCCCCAAGGCCACCAGAGAGGAGUCGCCCACCCUGCGCCCUGUUUUCCACGCCUGGCCCAGCUCACCAGACACUGCAUCCUCGCUCCUGGCCGCGCAGGUUAUUUGGUUGCUGCUGAGAAGCCUGGAGGGAUCUCACACCGGACCAGGCAAAGCCCCUCCUGUUCCGCGGAGCAAAGACGACGUGUUCCCCACGGAUUCACAGCUGAAUUCCUCCUGCUCCGCCCCGGCUCCGGCCCCGCCCCUUACUCCUCUACCAGCCUCCCCCUACCCACCAACGCAGAGGUAUAAAGGGAGAUUAAAUAGUACUCAUCUUUUCCCGUCUUCAACGCGUUUCGCCGUUUUCAGAGGUUUCAACUGGGAAGACUGAGCAAGUUUUUGGAAAAAGAUACAUUGUUUUCAUUUUCAUUAUACAGACAAAGAAAGAGAAAGGAGUGGGUGGGAAGACAUGAAUUGCCUGACUGCGUGGUGCUUGGAGGAAUGGCCGGCUGCAUUGUGGUCCACGCAGAGUAUUAAAUGAUUUUUGAGAAAUGUUAGUUUCCCCAGUUACCGUCCCGGAAAACCCAGAUAUUUUGAGGCUAAAUUUAACCAAUAGAAAAUUUGCAAAGCAAAUGUGUAUUUUUUUUUUUAAUUUCUUAAAUUUUCUUUUAUUUUUAAACUUUACAAAAUUGUAUUAGUUUUGCCAAAUAUCAAAAUGAAUCCGCCACAGGUAUACAUGUGUAUUUGUAUUUAUUUGUAUCCAGAAUCAAAUUAUGUAUUUAAACCGUCAAUGCUGUAAUGAUCUCUCCCUUAUUGAUGUGACUGGGUUUGUGUGGUUUUUUUUUCUCUGCUGUGAGAAAUUUUCUUCCACUUGCAUUGAUGAUGAGGAUAUUUCUUAUUUUAACAAGCUUCGGAGUUCUUGGCUCUUAAACAAAAGACAGAUCAAUGAAGUGUUCAAUUCCUAUAGCCUUUUCUGUUUUCCCGACCACCACCCCUGACCACCACACCUACGACAAGAAAAAACAAACACUGAAAGGACUAAAAUAUUCAUGGAGUGGCAAACAAGAUACAUAAGAGAAAGGUAAUUUAUAUAGCGAAAUUAAAGGUCAAAUUAAGGAAACUAAAAAAUAACUCUUAAAGCUUCAAACAUGACAAGUAGAGACACCAAGAAAAAGAAUCAAAGUAACUUUAAAUGUCACAAAGCAGCGCCAGAUGCAAGAAGGCAAUGAAUUCACUUUCAAAAUAUGGAAGAAAAAAUAACUCUGAACUCUACUUUGUCUUUUAUAACAACUACUACAAAGGAGACUCAGGUUCAAUCCCUGGGUCAGGAAGAAAAUGGCAACCCACUCCAAUAUUCUU